CCCAAUACACGGUCGACCUCUU
This 22-nucleotide microRNA is filed under the name Homo sapiens (human). RNAcentral's name for it is "hsa-miR-323b-3p". Its record names the gene hsa-miR-323b-3p. The record is from miRBase by way of RNAcentral. Lineage: Eukaryota; Metazoa; Chordata; Mammalia; Primates; Hominidae.